ACCUCUCCACCCUCCUUCUCCCCCUUCCCACCCCCAUUACCCUCCAGCCCCUGCUCACCCUCCAACCCAUCACCAUCACCAUCACCCUUCUGCUCCUGUUCACCCUCCUCUCAACCCUCCGCUUGUUCCAGUUCACCCCCCUCUUAAGCCUCCGGUUCCAAUUCACCCUCCUCUUAACCCUCCGGUUCCAGUUCACCCUCCUGUCAAGCCUCCUGUUCCAGUUCACCCUCCGGUCAAGCCUCCUGUUCCAGUUCACCCUCCGGUCAAGCCUCCUGUUCCAGUUCACCCUCCGGUUCCUGUCCACCCUCCUGUUCCAGUGCACCCCUUCCGUAGAAGCUUUGUUGCAGUUCAAGGAGUUGUCUACGUGAAGUCCUGCAAGUAUGCUGGCGUUGACACCCUCUUGGGGGCCACACC
RNAcentral lists this long non-coding RNA (414 nucleotides) under Phaseolus vulgaris (common bean). RNAcentral's name for it is "long non-coding RNA (PVUL_LNC004648)". The record is from RNAcentral. Lineage: Eukaryota; Viridiplantae; Streptophyta; Magnoliopsida; Fabales; Fabaceae.